Molecule: non-coding RNA, 47 nt
Organism: Gavia stellata (red-throated loon)
Lineage: Eukaryota; Metazoa; Chordata; Aves; Gaviiformes; Gaviidae
Source: Rfam
UUUCAGGAUUUAUUUAAAUCCAUCCCAGUUUAGAAGAAGAAGAAACU